GACGAACGCUGGCGGCGUGCCUAAUACACGCAAGUUGAGCGCUGAAGGUUGGUACUUGUACCAACUGGAUGAGCAGCGAACGGGUGAGUAACGCGUGGGGAAUCUGCCUUUGAGCGGGGGACAACAUUUGGAAACGAAUGCUAAUACCGCAUAAAAACUUUAAACACAAGUUUUAAGUUUGAAAGAUGCAAUUGCAUCACUCAAAGAUGAUCCCGCGUUGUAUUAGCUAGUUGGUGAGGUAAAGGCUCACCAAGGCGAUGAUACAUAGCCGACCUGAGAGGGUGAUCGGCCACAUUGGGACUGAGACACGGCCCAAACUCCUACGGGAGGCAGCAGUAGGGAAUCUUCGGCGAUGGACGAAAGUCUGACCGAGCAACGCCGCGUGAGUGAAGAAGGGUUUCGGAUCGUAAAACUCUGUUGGUAGAGAAGAACGUUGGUGAGAGUGGAAAGCUCAUCAAGUGACGGUAACUACCCAGAAAGGGACGGCUAACUACGUG
Molecule: ribosomal RNA, 497 nt
Filed under: uncultured bacterium
Lineage: Bacteria
Description: partial 16S ribosomal RNA
Rfam family: Bacterial small subunit ribosomal RNA
Source: RNAcentral